RNAcentral lists this ribosomal RNA (252 nucleotides) under uncultured bacterium. Its description in RNAcentral is "partial 16S ribosomal RNA". It matches the Rfam family "Bacterial small subunit ribosomal RNA", at positions 235 to 504 of the family's 1533-position model. The record is from RNAcentral.
GUCUGAUUAGCUGGUUGGCGGGGUAACGGCCCACCAAGGCGACGAUCAGUAGCCGACUUGAGAGAGUGAUCGGCCACAUUGGGACUGAGACACGGCCCAAACUCCUACGGGAGGCAGCAGUGGGGAAUAUUGCACAAUGGGGGAAACCCUGAUGCAGCGACGCCGCGUGACUGAAGAAGUACUUCGGUAUGUAAAGGUCUAUCAGCAGGGAAGAGAAUGACGGUACCUGACUAAGAAGCCCCGGCUAACUAC